UUCUGAUGUUGGUGCUGAUGGUGAUGAUGAUGGUGAUGUUGGUGGUGAUGGUUCCGGUGACGGUCACCGACUUCGUCAUCACCGUUAACCGAG
Non-coding RNA from Cinara cedri, 93 nucleotides. NCBI's taxonomy places the organism in Eukaryota, Metazoa, Arthropoda, Insecta, Hemiptera, Aphididae. The record is from the annotation of a GenBank genome assembly.